Thamnophis elegans (Western terrestrial garter snake) is the source of this 671-nucleotide long non-coding RNA. RefSeq lists it as uncharacterized. The transcript is spliced from 3 exons. The record is from RefSeq and is a predicted model, not a curated record. NCBI's taxonomy places the organism in Eukaryota, Metazoa, Chordata, Lepidosauria, Squamata, Natricidae.
UUUAAACAAGCAGCUCUUAACGCUGCAGGUCGCCUAGGAAACAACGCGGCUUCUGCGUAGGCUGGAGAACGUGAAAUCACUCCAACUGCGAGCUCAGGAGGACUUCAUUUCCCGGCAUGCAGUUCCAGUUCCACGUGAUCGACCGGAGCCCUCCGGGUACGUGACCUCCGCGAAGUCGCCCCCUCCCCCGCCCUCGAAGAAGGGACAAGUGGUGACGACGUGAAAAGAUGGAGAUCGCCGGCGGAGGGCGUGGCUAGAAAACGGCCGCGCGCAGGGGGUGGGUGGGAAAUCCGGGCGUCGGGAGCGCGCACAGUGGCAACUCGGCGGUGGAGACGCGCGACAGGUCCCAGAAGAGAUCCGGGUGGGGGGCCGCGCGUGGAGAGAGAGAGGGUGACAGGGUGCACCGCUUUUUUCUUCCCCCAGGAAACCGGAGCCGGAAGGCUGAAAUUCACCAAGCAAGACAAUCAAUCUGAAAUUCAGAAGGCUUUUCAUCGAUGACAUGAAACCUUAAAAACUGAAGACUGGGUUAAUGAGAAGAUGGGAGCAGCAAGCAGCAGCAUUCAUGACCUCCCAGAAAAUGAAUAUUUAAAGAAACUGUCAGGACGAGAAGCCAUCUCUGAGAAUGACCCGUUUUGGAAUCAGUUGCUUUCUUUUAGCUUUACUAUCCCAAC